Non-coding RNA from Trichonephila inaurata madagascariensis, 73 nucleotides. NCBI's taxonomy places the organism in Eukaryota, Metazoa, Arthropoda, Arachnida, Araneae, Nephilidae. The record is from the annotation of a GenBank genome assembly.
AUCCCUGUAGCACAAUGGUUAGUCCGUUAGACUUCUAAUCCAAAGAUCAUGGGUAUGAAUCCCACUUGGGAUG